RNAcentral lists this ribosomal RNA (497 nucleotides) under uncultured bacterium. RNAcentral describes it as "partial 16S ribosomal RNA". It matches the Rfam family "Bacterial small subunit ribosomal RNA", at positions 28 to 507 of the family's 1533-position model. The record is from RNAcentral.
GAUGAACGCUGGCGGCGUGCCUAAUACAUGCAAGUCGAGCGAACAGACGAGGAGCUUGCUCCUCUGACGUUAGCGGCGGACGGGUGAGUAACACGUGGAUAACCUACCUAUAAGACUGGGAUAACUUCGGGAAACCGGAGCUAAUACCGGAUAAUAUAUUGAACCGCAUGGUUCAAUAGUGAAAGACGGUUUUGCUGUCACUUAUAGAUGGAUCCGCGCCGCAUUAGCUAGUUGGUAAGGUAACGGCUUACCAAGGCAACGAUGCGUAGCCGACCUGAGAGGGGGCGCGGCCACACUGAAACUGAGCCCGGCCCCAGCCUCCAACGGGGGGCACAAGGAGGGAAUCUUCCGAAAGGGGCGAAAGCCUUACGGCGCACCGCCGCGGGAGUGAUGAAGGUCUCCGGAUCGAAAAACUCUUUUAUUGGGAAAAAAAAAAUGUGAAAUAAACUCGGCCCUUCUGGACGGUACCUAAUAAAAAACCCACGGCUAACUCCGUC